AGGGAGCAGUCAUCUUCUCUGAGAUUUUGCUAAGUUAUACCAUUGCAGAUUGGGAGUCACACCAACAGGGUUCAAGCACUGUUCAAGUGGUGGAGUGGAAGGAGGAUUUGGCUUGCUGCACUCUCAGCACCAUGAAAGAAAGAAAGUGGAGGAGGAUGAAGAGGGAAGCCUUUCUGAGAUGCUAUCAAAGGCUGCUAUGCCAAACCACAAAUGCACAAUCCAAGAGCACUGCCCUUAUUAAAGUGGAAUGAAACUCAGUGGACCAUAUUGAAUCAUCACUUAUUCAUGGCAGUUUUCUUUUUUAUGGCUUAUUUUAUAUAACCAAACCUAUGAUGUCUUCUGUCAUUUGGGAAAUAACUGGCAUCUAAUAGUACUCAUUGUUGUAUGAGGGCCACAUAUGUGUGCAAAGCCCCUACACUAGGAGUGAAAUAGGCAAACAGCCAAAACAAUCACAUUAAAUAUUAUUUUCUUCCAUAAAGCUAAAGAAAUUUAGACAUAUUUAAAAGUUACCUUUUAACUGAUGUGUUUUUUUGCAGAAAUACCAUUACAGGCAAUUCUCUGAUCGCAAAUUUGCUAUCACCAAAGUAGGUGUGUUUGCUCAGUGAAGAUGGGGAAUUUUAGCGUAUGAUAAAACAGGUAAGCAUUUUGUGUCACCUGUUUCUUAUGAGCAGGGAUCCUGGUCUUAUCUGUUUAAAAAUACUAAAUUAUC
This is a long non-coding RNA of Gavialis gangeticus (Gharial), 709 nucleotides long. RefSeq lists it as uncharacterized. The transcript has 3 exons. Lineage: Eukaryota; Metazoa; Chordata; Crocodylia; Gavialidae. The record is from RefSeq and is a predicted model, not a curated record.